UACAAAGUCCAGUUUGUGCAGUUGCAUUCCAUAGUGGUGACCAGGAACGUCUGUGCCACAUUCAGCUACUUCAGAAGACGCAGGUAAGAUGUGUCUUUCACCUUCCGCCGUGAUUGUGAGACCUCCCCAAACACGUCGAAUUGACUAUCAACCUGGCCUGAAAUGAAGUGAUGUCCUCAAAACUUUAGAUAUUGUUGCCAAGAGCCUUCUUCUCAAAAAUAAGUCAAUGGAAAC
Long non-coding RNA from Pan troglodytes (chimpanzee), 234 nucleotides. RefSeq lists it as uncharacterized. The transcript is spliced from 3 exons. NCBI's taxonomy places the organism in Eukaryota, Metazoa, Chordata, Mammalia, Primates, Hominidae. The record is from RefSeq and is a predicted model, not a curated record.